AAAGGUUAUAAAACCGUGCCGAAGACAGUAGGUGCGAAAUCAGAAGAUUCUGGUUUUGCGUAAGGGUACCGCCUACCGAGGAGAAGAGUUUUUAUGAUAUGACUUUUACCUCUUGAAGUGUGUUUUGGCAUAUUUUGAGAGGUUUUUUAUUAUUAUA
Molecule: regulatory RNA element, 157 nt
Organism: Lachnospiraceae bacterium A4
Lineage: Bacteria; Bacillati; Bacillota; Clostridia; Lachnospirales; Lachnospiraceae
Rfam family: Ribosomal protein L10 leader
About the family: This family is a putative r-protein leader autoregulatory structure found in B. subtilis and other low-GC Gram-positive bacteria. It is located in the 5' untranslated regions of mRNAs encoding ribosomal proteins L10 and L12 (rplJ-rplL). A Rho-independent transcription terminator structure that is probably involved in regulation is included at the 3' end.
Source: Rfam